This 892-nucleotide ribosomal RNA is filed under the name uncultured archaeon. Its description in RNAcentral is "bacterial SSU rRNA". It matches the Rfam family "Archaeal small subunit ribosomal RNA", at positions 5 to 879 of the family's 1478-position model. The record is from RNAcentral.
CGGUUGAUCCUGCCGGACCCGACUGCUAUUUGGGUGAGGAUAAACCAUGCGAGUUGUAUGGGAUACCUAAAUUUCCCAUGGCAAACUGCUCAGUAACACAUGAUCAACUUACCCUAUGGAGAAAAAUAACCUCAGGAAACUGAGGAUAAUGUUUCAUAGUUGAAUAGGCUUGGAAAAGUUAUUCAACAAAAGGAAUAAAAACAUGGUUUUUAUUCGCCAUAGGAUAAGGAUCGUGGGUUCGAUUAUGGUUGUUGGUGAGGUAAACGGCUCACCAAGCCGAUAAUCGAUAGGGGCCGUGAGAGCGGGAGCCCCGAGAUGGGUACUGAGACAACGACCCAGGCCUUACGAGGCGCAGCAGGUGCGAGACCUCCGCAAUACACGAAAGUGUGACGGGGUUACCCAAAGUGUUCUCUUUUGAACUGUGGUAGGUGAGUAAUGUCCCCUACUAGAAAGGAGAGGGCAAGGCUGGUGCCAGCCGCCGCGGUAAAACCAGCUCUUCAAGUGGUCGGGAUAAUUAUUGGGCUUAAAGUGUCCGUAGCCGGUUUAGUUAGUUCCUGGUAAAAUCGGAUAGCUUAACUAUCCGCAUGCUAGGAAUACUGCUAUACUAGAGGGCGGGAGAGGUCUGAGGUACUACAGGGGUAGGGGUGAAAUCUUAUAAUCCUUGUAGGACCACCAGUGGCGAAGGCGUCAGACUGGAACGCGCCUGACGGUGAGGGACGAAAGCCAGGGGAGCGAACCGGAUUAGAUACCCGGGUAGUCCUGGCCGUAAACGAUGCAUACUAGGUGAUGGUACGGCCAUGAGCCGUAUCAGUGCCGUAGGGAAACCGUUAAGUGUGCCGCCUGGGAAGUACGGUCGCAAGGCUAAAACUUAAAGGAAUUGGCGGGGGAGCAC